GGCUCCCUGCCGUGCACGAGGCGGGCCAGUAGUUCCGAUCCAACACAUUGGCCCGGGGAGCCCGUCUCCGGACGCCGAGGCAGACCCGCUGCCAGUCCGCGGGAAGCCGGAGCGGUCGGGAGGGCACCCACCUGCGAGAGCAGGGUUCGGGAACUCCGUCCCGCACGGCACGGCGGGGGCCU
This 182-nucleotide non-coding RNA is filed under the name bacterium. RNAcentral's name for it is "6S RNA". It matches the Rfam family "6S / SsrS RNA". Rfam says of the family: E. coli 6S RNA was the first non coding RNA to be sequenced, but its function was unknown until recently. It consists of 184 nucleotides that fold into an extended hairpin structure with a large single-stranded internal bulge. The 6S RNA specifically associates with RNA polymerase holoenzyme containing the sigma70 specificity factor. The record is from RNAcentral.